Molecule: ribosomal RNA, 406 nt
Filed under: uncultured bacterium
Lineage: Bacteria
Description: partial 16S ribosomal RNA
Rfam family: Bacterial small subunit ribosomal RNA
Source: RNAcentral
AUUGAACGCUGGCGGCAGGCUUAACACAUGCAAGUCGAACGAGUGGCGGACGGGUGAGUAAUGCUUGGGAAUCUGCCUUAUGGAGGGGGAUAACUACUGGAAACGGUAGCUAAUACCGCAUACCAUCAGAUGAGCCCAGGUGGGAUUAGGUAGUUGGUGAGGUAAAGGCUCACCAAGCCGACGAUCUCUAGCUGGUCUGAGAGGAUGACCAGCCACACUGGGACUGAGACACGGCCCAGACUCCUACGGGAGGCAGCAGUGGGGAAUAUUGCGCAAUGGGGGCAACCCUGACGCAGCCAUGCCGCGUGAAUGAAGAAGGCCUUCGGGUUGUAAAGUUCUUUCGGUAGCGAGGCGUUAACUACAGAAGAAGCACCGGCUAACUCCGUGCCAGCAGCCGCGGUAAUAC